Molecule: non-coding RNA, 97 nt
Filed under: Pontibacter flavimaris
Lineage: Bacteria; Pseudomonadati; Bacteroidota; Cytophagia; Cytophagales; Hymenobacteraceae
Also listed under: 1 other name
Description: Pontibacter sp. S10-8 TPP riboswitch aptamer (THI element)
Rfam family: TPP riboswitch aptamer (THI element)
About the family: Vitamin B(1) in its active form thiamin pyrophosphate (TPP) is an essential coenzyme that is synthesised by coupling of pyrimidine and thiazole moieties in bacteria. The previously detected thiamin-regulatory element, thi box was extended, resulting in a new, highly conserved RNA secondary structure, the THI element, which is widely distributed in eubacteria and also occurs in some archaea.
Source: Rfam by way of RNAcentral
GCCGGUACUCAGGGGUGCCCAAAGAUUACGGGCUGAGAUCAUACCCAUAGAACCUGAUCCGGGUAAUGCCGGCGAAGGGAGAGGUUCGGGAAACAAA